UACGAAGGGGGGCGAGCGUUGUUCGGAUUUACUGGGCGUAAAGGGCGCGCAGGCGGUUCUGUUUGUCGAGUGUGAAAGCCCCGGGCUCAACCUGGGAACUGCGCUCGAAACGGCGGAACUAGAGUUCGGGAGAGGAGAGUGGAAUUCCCAGUGUAGAGGUGAAAUUCGUAGAUAUUUGGGAAGAACACCGGUGGCGAAGGCGGCUCUCUGGACCGAUACUGACGCUGAGGCGCGAAGCGUGGGAGCAACAGG
RNAcentral lists this ribosomal RNA (252 nucleotides) under uncultured bacterium. RNAcentral's name for it is "partial 16S ribosomal RNA". It matches the Rfam family "Bacterial small subunit ribosomal RNA", at positions 524 to 776 of the family's 1533-position model. The record is from RNAcentral.